UCUACGGGAGGCUGCAGUGGGGAAUCUUGCGCAAUGGGCGAAAGCCUGACGCAGCCAUGCCGCGUGAAUGAUGAAGGUCUUAGGAUUGUAAAAUUCUUUCACCGGGGACGAUAAUGACGGUACCCGGAGAAGAAGCCCCGGCUAACUUCGUGCCAGCAGCCGCGGUAAUACGAAGGGGGCUAGCGUUGCUCGGAAUUACUGGGCGUAAAGGGAGCGUAGGCGGACAUUUAAGUCAGGGGUGAAAUCCCGGGGCUCAACCUCGGAAUUGCCUUUGAUACUGGGUGUCUUGAGUAUGAGAGAGGUGUGUGGAACUCCGAGUGUAGAGGUGAAAUUCGUAGAUAUUCGGAAGAACACCAGUGGCGAAGGCGACACACUGGCUCAUUACUGAC
This 389-nucleotide ribosomal RNA is filed under the name uncultured bacterium. Its description in RNAcentral is "bacterial SSU rRNA". It matches the Rfam family "Bacterial small subunit ribosomal RNA", at positions 338 to 744 of the family's 1533-position model. The record is from RNAcentral.